GUAAGGUAUUGGCUUACCAAGGUUGCAACGGGUAACGGGGAAUCAGGGUUCGAUUCCGGAGAGGGAGCCUGAGAAACGGCUACCACAUCCAAGGAAGGCAGCAGGCACGGAAAUUACCCAAUCUAGACAGUAGGAGGUGGUGAAGAGAAUUACUAAGUGGUGGUCUAAUAGAUUACCAGCUUGGAAUGAACGUAAUUUAAGCAAUUCGAUGAGUAACUACUGGAGGGCAAGUCCUGGUGCCAGCAGCCGCGGUAAUUCCAGCUCCAGUGGCCUCCUCUAAAGUUGUUGCGUUUAAAACGCUCGUAGUUGGAUCACGCAGUGAUAUUCAGUUAUCUCUACAGUGUACUGGGGACUCUCGCGUUGUUACAACAUGUUGACGAUCUAUGUACACGUAUUGAUAAUUCAGCUGAAUGUCACUAUUUGCACGCGAGUGUGGUGGUUGACCUUUAAUGCGUUGAGCAUCGCGACUUGCGGGGUGUGCCUUGAAUAAAACAGAGUGCUCAAAGCAGGCUUUGCUUGAAUGUUGUAGCAUGGAACGAACAAACGUGUAUAUGUACGUGCUACUCAACGUGGGCGAGUCUUUGAUUCGCUCGUGUAGUUAGCGCGUACAGCACCUACCAAAAUAUGGAUGUUGGUUCCGUAUACGGUGAUGAUUAAAAGGAGCGGUUGGGGGCAUUGGUAUUUGGCCGCGAGAGGUGAAAUUCUUAGACCGGCCAAGGACUAACAAAUGCGAAGGCAUUUGUCUAGACCGUUUCCAUUAAUCAAGAACGAAAGUGGGAGGUUCGAAGACGAUCAGAUACCGUCCUAGUUCCCACUGUAAACUAUGCCGACCUGGGAUCAGUUUGGAGAUAUACAAGCUCUAGG
This 864-nucleotide ribosomal RNA is filed under the name Aurantiactinomyxon sp. BWX-2010. RNAcentral's name for it is "SSU rRNA". It matches the Rfam family "Eukaryotic small subunit ribosomal RNA", at positions 328 to 1079 of the family's 1831-position model. The record is from RNAcentral. Lineage: Eukaryota; Metazoa; Cnidaria; Myxozoa.